AAUCAACGCUGGCGGCGUGCCUAACACAUGCAAGUCGAACGCGGAAAGGGCUUCGGCCCUGAGUAGAGUGGCGUCGGGUGAGUAACGCGUGGGUAAUCUACCCUCGGGUGGGAAUAACCAAUACGAAAGAUUGGCUAAUACCGCAUAAUGCAGCGGCUCGACAUCGAGACAGUUGUUAAAGCAGCAAUGCGCCAGAGGAGGAGCCUGCGUCUGAUUAGCUUGUUGGCGGGGUAACGGCCCACCAAGGCUACGAUCAGUAGCUGGUCUGAGAGGACGGCCAGCCACAAUGGCACUGAAACACGGGCCA
This 307-nucleotide ribosomal RNA is filed under the name uncultured bacterium. Its description in RNAcentral is "bacterial SSU rRNA". It matches the Rfam family "Bacterial small subunit ribosomal RNA", at positions 32 to 333 of the family's 1533-position model. The record is from RNAcentral.